Molecule: RNA transcript, 3260 nt
Organism: Seriola aureovittata
Lineage: Eukaryota; Metazoa; Chordata; Actinopteri; Carangiformes; Carangidae
Gene: brms1lb
Gene name: BRMS1 like transcriptional repressor b
Exons: 10
Source: RefSeq, a predicted model, not a curated record
GACGGUGGCCAUGUUUGCAUUUCCAGCUGUCUAGAUGCGGGUUAGCUAACCGGUUAGCUGUCUGAGCUACAUUUGCUUUUUUAUUCGGGGUAAAAAUUGACGAACAGCUCUGCCACCCCGUUAACACCGGCUCAUCUUUACGCCGCCAUGCCGGUUCACUCCCGGGAGAAGAAAGAAAGUAACCACGAAGAAAUGGAGGUGGAUUUUCCCGAGCAGGACGGCAGCAGCACAGACGAGGAGGACACCGUUAGCUCAUCCGUGUCUGAAGAUGGAGACAGCUCGGAGAUGGAUGAUGAGGACUGUGAGAGGAGGAGGAUGGAGUGCCUGGAUGAGAUGACCACCCUGGAGAAGCAGUUCACUGACUUGAAGGAGCAGUUGUACAAGGAGCGUCUGAGCCAGGUGGACAUCAAGUUGCAAGAGGUAAUGGCUGGCUGUGCCCAGGAGUACCUGGAGCCUUUAGCCAACCUGCAGGAGAACAUGCAGAUCAGGACCAAAGUGGCAGGGAUCUACAGAGAGCUGUGUUUGGAGUCAGUGAAGAAUAAGUACGAGUGUGAGAUCCAGUCGGCCUGCCAACACUGGGAGAGUGAGAAGCUGCUGCUGUUCGACACUGUACAGAGUGAACUGGAGGAGAAGAUAAGAAGACUGGAAGAAGACAGACACAGUAUUGACAUUACCUCAGAGUUGUGGAAUGAUGGAUUGCACUCACGGAAAAACAAGAAAAAAGACCCGUUCUGUCCCGUCAAGAAGAAGAAGCCUGUUGUUGUCUCUGGGCCUUAUAUUGUUUACAUGCUGCAAGAUCUGGACAUUCUUGAAGACUGGACUGCGAUAAGAAAGUUGUGUCUGUCGCCCCCCCCACCCCCACCCCUUGCAGGCGAUGGCAUCACUGGGGCCGCACAGGGUGAAGGUGGAUGUUCCUGCAGUAAAGCCUGACAGACACCACCAUGUGGCGCGCUCUGAGGACGGUCGACUUUUCUAUGACAGCCAGUGGUACUGCAGGGGACAGGCCAUCUGUAUCAACAGGAAGGACGAGUACCCGACUAGUGCCAUCAUCACCACAAUCAACAAUGACGAGGUGUGGUUCAAACGACUGGACGGCACCAAGUCGAAGCUCUACAUCUCCCAGCUGCAGAAAGGCAAAUACACUAUCAAGCACUCAUAAAACCACACUGACACUCGCUCACACCCAUACAGUACAAAGACCAUCAUUUCUGCCUCCUUCCCAUGUUGUAUCUUUCUCCAUGCUUGCCAUAUGUACAGUACACACAAACACACACACACACACACACACACACACACACACUCUAACCUCCUAAAAAGAUUUUCACUCUUGAGCCUGACAAAUACACACACACACACACACUUUCUUUCACGCCCUCUUUGUUUGAGUAACAAAAAAGAAACUGUCCAGAAACAAACAAGUGUCAACUCAAGAAGAUGUUCUUCUCUGUAAAUAUGUAUAUGUAUGUUGAUAUUAUCGACAAGGUCACAAAGUGUCAUUCUCUCUGAAACGGAGAUCAAUGCAAAGUGCUGCUAAAAAAAAAAAAAAAAAUUUAAAAAAAUUAAAAAAACAAAAAAAAACAAGGGAGAAAAACCGGAGCAGUAGCGAACUGUGAAGCUCAGUCGCGUGCCUUUCUGAGAUGAGAUGAUGCCUCGGCUGAUUUAAAAAAAAAAAACAAAACAAAAAAAAAAAAAAAAAAAGUCCUGAACUAUCAAUGCAGUGAAGCCUUACUCUGUACGGUGUUAGCACCAGGAGGACUGAAGCGGGUCAUUGAAUGAGUGAGUGAGAAACCGUGAUGCAGGUGAGGAUGCUGUUAGACUUGAAUUUCAUGCUCCACAAAGCCUAAUAAAUCUGUAUUAGGAUCCCCAGGGACCCCAGUUUGAUAAAAUGUUUGAUUUAGUAACGAAAAAAAAUGCACAAGUGUCAAUUUGGAGAUGGAGAAUGAUUAAUCAAUUCUGAGCAGAUGAUGAUAUCGUGAACAUAAUGAGUUAAAACUAUUCUUCAAGAGCACCCCAGGGUUUUGUCGAAACCCACUUGGGGAGCCACUGUACUAAAUGAUCUCUUGAUGUGUUGAUGUUUUCAGUGUAAUUUUACCAGCACUACAUUUUUAAGUUCAAACCGAGGCCAGCCUCCGUGCACUAAGCAAAACGCAACAGCUGGAAAUGAAGCCUAAACAUGCAGAAGUGGCAGGUGCCCUGUAUAUAGAGACAGUGUAUUUUGUGUUGAGCUCACUGUGAUUCUUCCCCUCUGUCUCCUGUCAUGUUGCCGUGCGUCUGAUAGUGCCUACAGCUGAACUUUUAAAGGGAAAUAUUUCAACCUGGCAUAUUUGCCAUAAAUUUGGCUAUUGUGGCUCCCUAUGCAGUUAGCCAUAAUGGCCACCGCAGGCGGCUACUUUCUGUUAGAGACAAAGAUUAUAGCUGUAGGAGGCUUGCACAGCUUGCCUCCAUGGACAGUACGUUGCUUGCUGAAGUUCUUGUUUCCCUGAAUCUCUACAACAGAGGUGACGAGUGCAAAGUUAGCAUCACCCGUGGCUAAUACGCCAGGUUGAAAUAUACCAGAAUUUUCCUUUUAAGGCGGGAUCCAAAAAAAGGUUUACUCCACAGGUUUGAGCUGUGUUUUUUUUCUAUAGUGUUGGGCUCAUAACAGAAUUCAUUGUGCCAUUUUUCAACCUUUUUGUCUAUAUUCAGCCUAAUUUGUGUCUGCUAAAAAAUGAAAUAAGAUCAUUUAUUAAGUACCGCAGUGUAAAUCUUCUAUCUGUUAAAUCUCUCAAAAUCAAAAGUUAUCUCCUGUUCCCUGUCCUCUUCCUCUUGUCUUUUUUGUCACUUCACCCCCCUCCUCCCCCUUGUGUUCUUCUUUGCUGUCAGUAAAAAUGUUCCUCAACAUUUAUGUAUUAACAGUACAAAGAGAAAGCAAGAAGGGAUUUUUUUUAUGUGUGUACAAUCCGUCCAUUGUAAAUUAUGUUCAGUGACGGGGAUCUUGCUUUGUGUUGUGCUGCUUUAUACUUUCAGCAUUGCAUACAUAUUUCAAAAUAUUACCUGACAAAAGUAUUGUAAAGAGAGGUCCUUUCAACACUGUACCAUAAACAUAAAGAAAAGUGUAUGUAAAGCCUAAUAAGGCGUCCACUUAGUAGAGCUUUUGUUUUGUUUUUUUUAACUACACUUGUUUUGAUGCAUCAUGGUUCCUUUUCCACAUUAGACGUACAAAGAAAACUGACAUUGUGCCAAUGCAUGUACAGCUGAUUAAAGAUUUUGUUUGUAUCAUU